AUGCUUAUUGAUAUUCCAAUUGAGUCUAUACAGGGUCUGAUUUCCUUUUUCAAGAAGUAUAGAGAAACUGGCUUUUCAAAAGCAUUGGAAGAUGCAAAAGAAAUUGCACUUGAGAUGGAUAUUCAUCCAGAGUUCCGCACCAAGCGGAAAAUCAAAAGAAGAAGACAAUUUGAUGAGGGUGCAGAUGAUGCAUCUAUUGCUUCACAAUCUGCCAAUAUAGAUUUGGUGGAUGAUGCUUGA
RNAcentral lists this ribosomal RNA (240 nucleotides) under Triticum aestivum (bread wheat). RNAcentral's name for it is "partial small subunit ribosomal RNA". Lineage: Eukaryota; Viridiplantae; Streptophyta; Magnoliopsida; Poales; Poaceae. The record is from RNAcentral.